GACAGAGGAUGCAAGCGUUAUCCGGAAUGAUUGGGCGUAAAGCGUCUGUAGGUGGCUUUUUAAGUCCGCCGUCAAAUCCCAGGGCUCAACCCUGGACAGGCGGUGGAAACUACCAAGCUGGAGUACGGUAGGGGCAGAGGGAAUUUCCGGUGGAGCGGUGAAAUUCGUAGAUAUUCGCAAGAACACCAGUGGCGAAGGCGGCCAACUGGACCAACACUGACGCUGAGGCGCGAAAAGCUAGGGGGAGCGAAUGGG
This 255-nucleotide ribosomal RNA is filed under the name uncultured bacterium. Its description in RNAcentral is "partial 16S ribosomal RNA". It matches the Rfam family "Bacterial small subunit ribosomal RNA", at positions 524 to 776 of the family's 1533-position model. The record is from RNAcentral.